RNAcentral lists this unclassified non-coding RNA (301 nucleotides) under Hevea brasiliensis (rubber tree). Lineage: Eukaryota; Viridiplantae; Streptophyta; Magnoliopsida; Malpighiales; Euphorbiaceae. The record is from RNAcentral.
AAAAAAUAAAAGAGGUCAGCAAAGCUCUCCAGAACAUGCAAAGCAAAUAAGUAACAUCAUCAGAGCAAUAGAUGGAAUCAUCCAAGUUUGCGAUGUUGGUAUUAAUAUCUUGCACAAUCAAUAUAAUACAGAAUGAGAGAAGAACAGAAAAAGGAAUUAAUAGAGAAUGAUGCAAUCAAAUGUUUAGUAUUGUUCACUCUUUUUGAACAUCAUCACAUUAACUCAAUAUUUUCUUUCUGCUUUGCAUCUCUAAUUCUCUAUUAACAUUAUGGAUUCUCCAACUCAACUCAAUUCAACUCAA